UUGAACGCUGGCGGCAUGCUUUACACAUGCAAGUCGGACGGCAGCACAGAGAAGCUUGCUUCUUGGGUGGCGAGUGGCGAACGGGUGAGUAACAUAUCGGUACGUACCGAGCAGUGGGGGAUAACUAAUCGAAAGAUUAGCUAAUACCGCAUAUUUUCUGAGGAAGAAAGCAGGGGACCUUUGGGCCUUGCGCUGUUUGAGCGGCCGAUAUCUGAUUAGCUAGUUGGUGGGGUAAAGGCCUACCAAGGCGACGGUCAGUAGCGGGUCUGAGAGGAUGAUCCGCCACACUGGGACUGAGACACGGCCCAGACUCCUACGGGAGGCAGCAGUGGGGAAUUUUGGACAAUGGGCGCAAGCCUGAUCCAGCCAUGCCGCGUGUCUGAAGAAGGCCUUCGGGUUGUAAAGGACUUUUGUCAGGGAAGGAAAGGGCGGGGUUAAUACCCCUGUCUGAUGACGGUACCUGAAGAAUAAGCACCGGCUAACUACGUGCC
This 491-nucleotide ribosomal RNA is filed under the name uncultured Neisseria sp. Its description in RNAcentral is "bacterial SSU rRNA". It matches the Rfam family "Bacterial small subunit ribosomal RNA", at positions 30 to 509 of the family's 1533-position model. Lineage: Bacteria; Pseudomonadati; Pseudomonadota; Betaproteobacteria; Neisseriales; Neisseriaceae. The record is from RNAcentral.